UACUUCGCCUGCUUGCUGCAUG
RNAcentral lists this unclassified non-coding RNA (22 nucleotides) under Mus musculus (house mouse). Its description in RNAcentral is "oocyte_clustered_small_RNA3450". Lineage: Eukaryota; Metazoa; Chordata; Mammalia; Rodentia; Muridae. The record is from RNAcentral.